This 77-nucleotide transfer RNA is filed under the name Clostridiaceae bacterium. Its description in RNAcentral is "tRNA-Met". It matches the Rfam family "tRNA". Rfam says of the family: Transfer RNA (tRNA) molecules are approximately 80 nucleotides in length. Their secondary structure includes four short double-helical elements and three loops (D, anti-codon, and T loops). Lineage: Bacteria; Bacillati; Bacillota; Clostridia; Eubacteriales; Clostridiaceae. The record is from RNAcentral.
GGCGGCGUAGCUCAGUUGGCAAGAGCAUUCGGUUCAUACCCGAAGUGUCGUUGGUUCAAAUCCGACCGCCGCUACCA